GGUUAAGCGACUAAGCGUACACGGUGGAUGCCCUGGCAGUCAGAGGCGAUGAAGGGCGUGCUAAUCUGCGAUAAGCGCCGGUAAGGUGAUAUGAACCGUUAUAACCGGCGAUACCCGAAUGGGGAAACCCAGUGUGACUCGUCACACUAUCAUUAACUGAAUCCAUAGGUUAAUGAGGCGAACCGGGGG
RNAcentral lists this ribosomal RNA (189 nucleotides) under Salmonella enterica. RNAcentral describes it as "partial 23S ribosomal RNA". It matches the Rfam family "Bacterial large subunit ribosomal RNA", at positions 1 to 190 of the family's 2925-position model. Lineage: Bacteria; Pseudomonadati; Pseudomonadota; Gammaproteobacteria; Enterobacterales; Enterobacteriaceae. The record is from RNAcentral.